GAUGAAGAACACAGCGAAAUGCGAUAAGUAGUGUGAAUUGCAGAAUUCAGUGAAUCAUCGAAUCUUUGAACGCACAUUGCGCCCCUUGGUAUUCCAUGGGGCAUGCCUGUUCGAGCGUCAUUUGUACCUUCAAGCUCUGCUUGGUGUUGGGUGUUUGUCUCGCCUCUGCGUGUAGACUCGCCUUAAAACAAUUGGCAGCCGGCGUAUUGAUUUCGGAGCGCAGUACAUCUCGCGCUUUGCACUCAUAACGACGACGUCCAAAAGUACAUUUUUACACUCUUGACCUCGGAUCAGGUAGGGAUACCCGCUGAACUUAAGCAUAUCAAUAAGCGGAGGA
This 337-nucleotide unclassified non-coding RNA is filed under the name soil metagenome. RNAcentral's name for it is "partial contains 5.8S ribosomal RNA, internal transcribed spacer 2, and large subunit ribosomal RNA". The stretch from base 1 to 120 matches the Rfam family "5.8S ribosomal RNA", at positions 35 to 154 of the family's 154-position model. The record is from RNAcentral.